AGAUAAGGCUCCUCGACAGUGGAGGAUAUGCAUGAACGAGCACACUGGCACCCCCAAAAAAUAAAAAUAAAAAAUAAAAAUAAAUAAUAAUGAAACAAAGAAAGAAAAAAUAAUUUUUUUCUACUUAGGGUCUAGGUGGAACCUUAAAAUGUUUGCUUUUUCUACUAAUUAGGCGAUGCUUUCACUAGGGUCUGGGUCAUUCCUCACCGUGCACGUAGAGCCUGCUCGGAAAGGCGCCCUGUUUCCGAGGGGGGCGUUCUCUCCCCCGAAAGGCCCCCACCCAGAGACGAGUGUAGCCCUCGGUCUACCAGGCCGCAGCCCUCUGACGGGGGUGGCCCCGCGAAAAGGUCUUGAUUGAGGAAAACUCAGGCCCAGGGCGUAAACAUCCAAGCGGCGCUGAAUGCCAAACACCUUUGCGAGGAGGAAAAGAAAUAAUAAGGCAAAGAACGUGGUCACGGAUUGCUCCUCGGUCGCGGGGCGCCAGCGCCGAGAAAGGCUCCGAGGGGCCCCCCCGCCACGUGAGCCCAGACACACGUGUAGGCCCUCGGCUCCGCGAGCGGAGGGGCUUUUGUUUGUUGCAGGGUCCAAAGCUUUUUGCGAAUGUCGUGGAAAUGGAACCGCGUGGGCGCCCACGAUGUUUCCCGCGGGUGCCCCUGCAGAGUCACCCGCCAGCGCCUGGGGGCUCACGGGCCUUGAGGACAAAGCUGGCUUCUGCCCGCGGGUGAGCCAGCUGCCCUUUGCAGGCCGCGAGCGCCCAGCCGCCUCAAGACUCUCCUCUCCAGGAAGAUGCAGCAGCGUCUCAGCCUCCCCCCCGCCCCCCGAAUCACCCUCUGCAUGUGCGUGGAGCAUAGCAGACCUGCACGCGGGGACUUCGUUGGUGCUGCUCGGUGUCCCCCUCUCGCCCUCUCGUCCAGGACACUGGGAGCCUUGUCUUACAUUAGUAAUUGGCUCAUCUCAGGUCUUCAGAUUUUCGCUCCUCUGGCUUUAUCUCUAAUUUUUCAAGUUGACAGUGUUUAAUUUUCUCCACAGUUACAAGCUCGGCAGGUAGGGCAUGAGGGAUGGACGGCGAGCUGGUGGCCAGAGGUCCCGGGGACACGCAGGGCACGCGAGACCACUGCACCAGCUCAGCCGGGCACCUGCAGGAGGUGUGGACGUGGUGCCUGUCUCCUCCCCACAGCCCCGCACAGACCCCACUGCCCCAUCCACCCCUAUAGUUCCUACCUAUAGGAACCCUAUAGCUCCCCACAGCCCAUUGAGCCCAUGGGUCCCCGUGGACCCCCACUGGUCCCCACUGUCCCCACUAUUUCCGUGGCCUUCAUGUUCCUCCAGCACCACCAGGGGCCCCCACGCUCCCCCUAAUGGGCCACGUACGCCCCCACCCUUCCUUCCCUACAGCACGUGGGUGACCCAGGACAAGUCUCUGUCCUUUCGGGGCAGGGGGACCCACUCCCACCCAGCGCUCUUUGCAUUUCAGACCCCCUCUCCCCCGACGUGCCCACUCGUUCCGUGCGUGAUGCUAAGUUGCGAAAAACGUGUGAGGACAUUAACCCGAGGUGUUAUUUAUAAAUACGUUAUAAUUUAUUAAAUUAUAUGGCACUCGACAACAACUCAGAUAAAGAAGCACAUUGGAGUGUUACUCCAGCACAUGCACUAUUUUAAUAAUCCUUUUAUCUUAAAAUAUUGCCUCCUAUCACGCUGUCAGGGAGCAGCAGGAGAAUCUGUUAAGCGUAGAGAGGAGGGGCAUGUCUCCAACACGCUCUUCGGUGAAUUAUUAAAGGAGAGAGAGGCGCCAACUAAUCAUUUGAUAAACGCAAGUAAAUUAUGUAUAAUGGGCACCUUCGUGCAAAGAGCUGGAAAGUCGAGGAAAAUCCUGGGGCCCAGAGCAGAACUUGCUCCAAGCGGCUCCUUCCGCCGCCUUCUGCCUCCGAGAGCGGAGUCUCGCAGACUUGGACUUCAGACGCUCAUCUGCCACCAUUUUUGGCCACACCCGGGAA
Molecule: long non-coding RNA, 1994 nt
Organism: Vulpes vulpes (red fox)
Lineage: Eukaryota; Metazoa; Chordata; Mammalia; Carnivora; Canidae
Source: Ensembl